UCUUUGAUUGGGAAUCCGGGUCUUCAAUUUGGAUUAGUAGGUUAGGGUUCUUCAAUUGGAAACCCGAUUAAGUUACUCUCUCUUUCUCGCUCGUAUUCUCCGGCGCGACGCCAACAAUUUGUCUUCUUCACUAUAACAAUCGUCGUUUCUCAACUCCUCUCUCACCUUCUUCACCUUUGCAACUGCCAUGGAGGAGAGAGAAAGCACGCAGAUGAUAAAGAAUUUGAGGAGAGAGAAAACAGAUCUGGGAUUUCUCUCUCAUCCAUUGUUAACGAUCUGGGUAUAAUAGAGCUCCUGGUAGCGGAACCUCUCUUUUCUAUCACCAAGUUCUCCUCUUGCCCUCACUGGUGCCUUUGGGGGUAGUAAAAUAGUUAACAAAGUCUUUCUCCCUUGUGAUUGUUUCAGAUGCUUUGGAUUGUUUCAGAUGGUUUUGUUAUUUUCCAGGUCAAGAUUGUUGAGCAGGAAGAGAUCUUUGUGAAGCAGAGAGCUGAAUGGGAAGCUAAAAACAGGGGUCACUGCAACAAGGAUUAGGUUGGUGCUGCGUUUUCCAUUGUUUACAUAUUUGGAGCUCCGGUCAUGUUUGUUGGGUGUGGGCAAUGCUACACAGACCUCAAAAAGUUGAAUGUGAAAUCAAUUGUGAAGACUCCUUCGGGUAGAAUGCUUAGAUUAGAAUGCUUUUGUUCUUUUAAUGUUGCUUUGGAUGAUUAGGAAGUGCUCCCUUUUUACAUUUGAAGUUUAUAGUACGAGUUCGAUUAAUCAUUUGAUGUUU
This 769-nucleotide long non-coding RNA is filed under the name Rosa chinensis. RNAcentral's name for it is "sRNA RchiOBHm_Chr4g0385051". Lineage: Eukaryota; Viridiplantae; Streptophyta; Magnoliopsida; Rosales; Rosaceae. The record is from RNAcentral.